AGUGAACGCUGGCGGUAGGCCUAACACAUGCAAGUCGAACGGCAGCACAGUAAGAGCUUGCUCUUACGGGUGGCGAGUGGCGGACGGGUGAGGAAUACAUCGGAAUCUACUUUUUCGUGGGGGAUAACGUAGGGAAACUUACGCUAAUACCGCAUACGACCUACGGGUGAAAGCAGGGGAUCUUCGGACCCUGCGCGAUUGAAUGAGCCGAUGUCGGAUUAGCUAGUUGGCGGGGUAAAGGCCCACCAAGGCGACGAUCCGCAGCUGGUCUGAGAGGAUGAUCAGCCACACUGGAACUGAGACACGGUCCAGACUCCUACGGGAGGCAGCAGUGGGGAAUAUUGGACAAUGGGCGCAAGCCUGAUCCAGCCAUACCGCGUGGGUGAAGAAGGCCUUCGGGUUGUAAAGCCCUUUUGUUGGGAAAGAAAAGCAGCAGGUUAAUACCCCGCUGUUCUGACGGUACCCAAAGAAUAAGCACCGGCUAACUUCGUG
RNAcentral lists this ribosomal RNA (492 nucleotides) under uncultured bacterium. Its description in RNAcentral is "partial 16S ribosomal RNA". It matches the Rfam family "Bacterial small subunit ribosomal RNA", at positions 29 to 507 of the family's 1533-position model. The record is from RNAcentral.